UCUCCGUAGGUGAACCUGCGGAGGGAUCAUUACAGAGUUCAUGCCCUACCGGGUAGAUCUCCCACCCUAUGUUAUUAUUACUUUGUUGCUUUGGCGGGCCGUUAGGCUCCGGCCCGACUACCGGCCCCGGCUGGUAAGCGCCCGCCAGAGGACCCAAAACCUGAAUAUUAGUGUCGUCUGAGUACUAUAUAAUAGUUAAAACUUUCAACAACGGAUCUCUUGGUUCUG
RNAcentral lists this unclassified non-coding RNA (228 nucleotides) under plant metagenome. RNAcentral describes it as "partial contains small subunit ribosomal RNA, internal transcribed spacer 1, and 5.8S ribosomal RNA". The record is from RNAcentral.